CUUUAAAAAUCUGGAUCAAGCUGAAAAUUGAAACGACACACUGUUUAAGUGUGUUCGAGUCUCUCAAAUUUUCGCGACACGAAGAUGUUUUACGAAACAUCUUCGG
RNAcentral lists this small RNA (106 nucleotides) under Klebsiella michiganensis. RNAcentral describes it as "Salmonella enterica Typhi npcRNA 44". It matches the Rfam family "Salmonella enterica Typhi npcRNA 44". The record is from RNAcentral. Lineage: Bacteria; Pseudomonadati; Pseudomonadota; Gammaproteobacteria; Enterobacterales; Enterobacteriaceae.